Molecule: ribosomal RNA, 254 nt
Filed under: uncultured bacterium
Lineage: Bacteria
Description: partial 16S ribosomal RNA
Rfam family: Bacterial small subunit ribosomal RNA
Source: RNAcentral
CACGUAGGGGGCGAGCGUUGUCCGGAUUUAUUGGGCGUAAAGAGCUCGUAGGCGGCUCGGUAAGUCGGGUGUGAAACCUCCAGGCUCAACCUGGAGACGCCACCUGAUACUGCUGUGGCUAGAGUCCGGUAGGGGAGUGUGGAACUCCUGGUGUAGCGGUGAAAUGCGCAGAUAUCUGGAGGAACACCGGUGGCGAAGGCGGCAUCCUGGACCGGUAUUGACGCUGAGGCGCGAAAGCCAGGGGAGCAAACGGG